RNAcentral lists this ribosomal RNA (497 nucleotides) under uncultured bacterium. RNAcentral describes it as "partial 16S ribosomal RNA". It matches the Rfam family "Bacterial small subunit ribosomal RNA", at positions 28 to 507 of the family's 1533-position model. The record is from RNAcentral.
GAUGAACGCUGGCGGCGUGCCUAAUACAUGCAAGUCGAGCGAACAGACGAGGAGCUUGCUCCUCUGACGUUAGCGGCGGACGGGUGAGUCACACGUGGAUAACCUACCUAUAAGACUGGGAUAACUUCGGGAAACCGGGGCUAAUACCGGAUAAUCUAUUGAACCGCAUGGUUCAAUAGUGAAAGACGGUUUUGCUGUCACUUAUAGAUGGAUCCGCGCCGCAUUAGCUAGUUGGUAAGGUAACGGCUUACCAAGGCAACGAUGCGUAGCCGACCUGAGAGGGUGAUCGGCCACACUGGAACGGAGACACGGUCCAGACUCCUACGGGAGGCAGCAGUAGGGAAUCUUCCGCAAUGGGCGAAAGCCUGACGGAGCAACGCCGCGUGAGUGAUGAAGGUCUUCGGAUCGUAAAACUCUGUUAUUAGGGAAGAACAAAUGUGUAAGUAACUAUGCACGUCUUGACGGUACCUAAUCAGAAAGCCACGGCUAACUACGUG